AAAGUUAGUCGGACAGUCGCACUUUUUAUAAGUGAGGAAAGUCCGGGCUUUAUAGAGCAAGAUGCCAGAUAACGUCUGGGAGGCGUGAGCCUACGGAAAGUGCAACAGAAAAUAAACCGCCUUUUUUUUUACAAAAAGGUAAGGGUGAAAAGGUGUGGUAAGAGCACACCGCAUUGGUGGUAACACUCAAUGGCAUUGUAAACCCCAUCUAAAGCAAGACCAAAUAGCGCUACGAAAAUGUUGCUCGCAUUGUAGCAGGGUAGGUCGCUUGAGCUUGUUGGUGACAACAGGCCUAGAUAAAUGACUGUCUAUUACAGAACCCGGCUUAUAGACUAGCUUUGUAU
This 344-nucleotide RNase P RNA is filed under the name Francisella philomiragia. RNAcentral describes it as "RNase P RNA component class A". It matches the Rfam family "Bacterial RNase P class A". Rfam says of the family: Ribonuclease P (RNase P) is a ubiquitous endoribonuclease, found in archaea, bacteria and eukarya as well as chloroplasts and mitochondria. The record is from RNAcentral. Lineage: Bacteria; Pseudomonadati; Pseudomonadota; Gammaproteobacteria; Thiotrichales; Francisellaceae.